RNAcentral lists this ribosomal RNA (258 nucleotides) under uncultured bacterium. RNAcentral describes it as "partial 16S ribosomal RNA". It matches the Rfam family "Bacterial small subunit ribosomal RNA", at positions 524 to 776 of the family's 1533-position model. The record is from RNAcentral.
UACGGGGGGAGGCAAGCGUUGUUCGGAUUUACUGGGCGUAAAGGGCGCGGUAGGCGGUCGUGACAAGUCACUUGUGAAAUCUCCGGGCUUAACUCGGAACGGUCAAGUGAUACUGUCGGACUAGAGUACAGAAGGGGCAACUGGAAUUCUCGGUGUAGCGGUAGAAAUGCGUAGAUAUCGAGAGGAACACCUGCGGCGAAGGCGGGUUGCUGGGCUGAUACUGACGCUGAGGCGCGGAAAGCCAGGGGAGCGAACGGG